Molecule: long non-coding RNA, 719 nt
Filed under: Mytilus galloprovincialis (Mediterranean mussel)
Lineage: Eukaryota; Metazoa; Mollusca; Bivalvia; Mytilida; Mytilidae
Source: RNAcentral
CCAUAAUUAGGGCCCCGCCAAAGGCGGGUCGCCCUAUAGUGAUCAGUCUGUCCGUCCGUCCGUUCGUCCGUCCGUCAGUCCGUAACACUUUAACUUUGUGUCCGCUCCAUAUCUAGAGAACCAUUAUGAUUUCAUACUUUAUACUUUACAUGUUUAUUAACCACCACCAGAGGGCGUGUCAUGAUGUAGGUACAACUUCCUAGGUCAAAGGUCAAGGUAAAAAAACUUUGGUUUCAGUUGACAACCCUGUGUCCUGUGGUAAAGAUCGUGUCCGCUCUAUAUCUUGAGAACCGUUAUGAUUUCAAAGUUUAUACUUGACAUGUAUAUGAACCAACACCAGAGGGUGUGUCAUAAUUUAUGAACGACUGCCUAGGGCAAAAUUCAAGGUCAAAAACUUUGAUUUCAGUUGACAACCCCAUGUCCUAUGGUAAAGAUUGUGUCCGCUCUAUAUCUUGAGAACCGUUAUCAUUUUAAAGUUUAUACCUGAAAUGUAUAUAAACCAAUAUCAGAGAGUAUGUCAUAAUUUAUGUAAACCUUCCUAGGUCAAAGGUCAAGGUCAAAAACUUUGGUUUCAGUUGACAACCCCAUGUCCUAUGGUAAAGAUCGUGUCCGCUCUAUAUCUUGAGAACCGUUAUCAUUUCAAAGUUUAUACUUGACAUGUAUAUAAACCAACACCAAAGGGUGUGUCAUAAGUUAUGUGCAACUUCCUUGGUCAAAGG